UCUCCGUAGGUGAACCUGCGGAGGGAUCAUUACAGAGUUCAUGCCCUACCGGGUAGAUCUCCCACCCUAUGUUAUUAUUACUUUGUUGCUUUGGCGGGCCGUUAGGCUCCGGCCCGACUACCGGCCCCGGCUGGUAAGCGCCCGCCAAAGGACCCAAAACCCUGAAUAUUAGUGUCGUCUGAGUACUAUAUAAUAGUUAAAACUUUCAACAACGGAUCUCUUGGUUCUG
RNAcentral lists this unclassified non-coding RNA (229 nucleotides) under plant metagenome. RNAcentral's name for it is "partial contains small subunit ribosomal RNA, internal transcribed spacer 1, and 5.8S ribosomal RNA". The record is from RNAcentral.